Molecule: ribosomal RNA, 254 nt
Filed under: uncultured bacterium
Lineage: Bacteria
Description: partial 16S ribosomal RNA
Rfam family: Bacterial small subunit ribosomal RNA
Source: RNAcentral
ACAGAGGGCCGGCCGCUGGCAACAUCGGUCCAAUCCUUAAAGUCAUCCUCAGUUCGGACUGGGGUCUGCAACCCGACCCCACGAAGCUGGAUUCGCUAGUAAUCGCGCAUCAGCCAUGGCGCGGUGAAUACGUUCCCGGGCCUUGUACACACCGCCCGUCAAGCCAUGAAAGCCGGGGGGCGCCUGAAGUCCGUGACCGCGAGGGUCGGCCUAGGGUGAAACCGGUGAUUGGGGCUAAGUCGUAACAAGGUAGC